RNAcentral lists this transfer RNA (64 nucleotides) under Ramisyllis multicaudata. RNAcentral's name for it is "tRNA-Phe". The record is from RNAcentral. Lineage: Eukaryota; Metazoa; Annelida; Polychaeta; Phyllodocida; Syllidae.
GCCAACAUAGUUUAUACAAAACAUAAUUCUGAAGAUAUUAAAAAGACUAACUGCUCUGUUGACA